Molecule: unclassified non-coding RNA, 570 nt
Filed under: Poa annua
Lineage: Eukaryota; Viridiplantae; Streptophyta; Magnoliopsida; Poales; Poaceae
Description: partial external transcribed spacer
Source: RNAcentral
GAGUGUUUUGGACCUGUGUCUGCCGGUAGAUCCCCCGUUUUUGUACGGCCGACUACUGGCGCCUUGUCCUGGCUGUUUUGUGGCUUCUGUUACUGUUACGUUUCAAGUGUGUGCAUGCUUGUACCUGAAUCACGGGUAGUGGUGCUUUAAAUUCGGUUGCCGCGCGGUGGACGCCUUUGGGUGUGCUGCUGCGGCCAAAUUGCGAUUGCGGCGUUUCCUUGUUUUUCCGGCACGUUAACUCUGCCUGUGCUAACAAGCCAACCUCGCUUCNGCUGUWGGUCUCGGAUGUUGCCUACGUUGAGAUCUCUUGGCCCAUUUCGGUUGCCUUGACCCGACCCUAGGAAGCUCUCCGAAUUGAGAACAACCGGAACAGGUGUUGCCUCUACCUCUCCACGGUUAGUGGUAGGAUUACGCAACAUUCUGCGCCGAUCCUCAAACAAGUAGGAACGAGCUUAGCCCUCUACGACAACCAGCCCGGCCGACAACCCCGUCUAGACACGCAAGUGGAUGGGCGGAUAAACACCGAGUUGGACCAGCCCGGCCGACAACCCCGUCUAGCCACGCAAGUGG